AACGAACGCUGGCGGCAGGCCUAACACAUGCAAGUCGAGCGAGGACUUCGGUCCUAGCGGCGGACGGGUGAGUAACGCGUGGGAACGUGCCCUUUGCUUCGGAAUAGCCCUGGGAAACUGGGAGUAAUACCGGAUGAGCCCUUUGGGGGAAAGAUUUAUCGGCGAAGGAUCGGCCCGCGUUGGAUUAGGUAGUUGGUGGGGUAAUGGCCUACCAAGCCGACGAUCCAUAGCUGGUUUGAGAGGAUGAUGAGCCACACUGGGACUGAGACACGGCCCAGACUCCUACGGGAGGCAGCAGUGGGGAAUCUUAGACAAUGGGGGAAACCCUGAUCUAGCCAUGCCGCGUGAGCGAUGAAGGCCUUAGGGUUGUAAAGCUCUUUCAGCUGGGAAGAUAAUGACGGUACCAGCAGAAGAAGCCCCGGCUAACUCCGUG
Molecule: ribosomal RNA, 433 nt
Filed under: uncultured bacterium
Lineage: Bacteria
Description: partial 16S ribosomal RNA
Rfam family: Bacterial small subunit ribosomal RNA
Source: RNAcentral